Molecule: ribosomal RNA, 440 nt
Filed under: uncultured bacterium
Lineage: Bacteria
Description: partial 16S ribosomal RNA
Rfam family: Bacterial small subunit ribosomal RNA
Source: RNAcentral
CCUACGGGGGGCAGCAGUGGGGGAUAUUGCACAAUGGGGGGAACCCUGAUGCAGCGACGCCGCGUGGGUGAAGGAGCGUUUCGGCGCGUAAAGCCCUAUCGGCAGGGAAGCAGAUGACGGUACCUGGCCAAGAAGCCCCGGCUAACUACGUGCCAGCAGCCGCGGUAAUACGUAGGGGGCAAGCGUUAUCCGGAUUUACUGGGUGUAAAGGGGGCGCAGACGGCAAUGCAAGCCAGGAGUGAACGCCCGGGGCCCAACCCCGGGACUGCUCUUGGAACUGCAUGGCUGGAGUACAGGAGGGGCAGGCGGAAUUCGUAGUGUAGCGGUGAAAUGCGUAGAUAUUAGGAGGAACACCGGUGGCGAAGGCGGCCUGCUGGACUGUGACUGACGUUGAGGCCCGAAGGCGUGGGGAGCAAACAGGAUUAGAUACCCCUGUAGUC